UGUGGCUAGAGACCCGGACACCGGGUAUCUAAUACGUACCCGGACACUGUUUUGCGCAUGCGCGGGGACUUAAUAUUUUCGCCACGAUGUUAUCACUGUUAUCAGUUGUUAUCAAAUCCUGCGUAAAUUAAUUACAACUUAGGUGUACGAAUUAUACGAUUUAUAAAUAAUCACAUUGACACAUUAUAGUCUAUAGAACAUAAUGGAAAUAAUAGGAAGAAAAACAAGACUAUUACAAGUGUUAAAUAAUUGAAGCGAAGAAGUCCAAUUGUUGUCUUUGUAAUUCCUUUGGGAUGUCCAGAUAUCUUCAUUUUUGAAGGCAGUUUAAUGGACUUUAAAUCUGCUAUAGACAUAUAUCAACAAUGUUCUCUAAGGUAUCUGAGUUAUUGUCUACUUGCAUACUGCACGCAUUGUCUACAUAUUCUAUCUCUUCAAUCAAAUCUAAUCAUUAAAAAUAUGACAGCAAGGUAAUGUCAGAGCUAUA
This is a long non-coding RNA of Myzus persicae (green peach aphid), 484 nucleotides long. RefSeq lists it as uncharacterized. The transcript has 4 exons. The record is from RefSeq and is a predicted model, not a curated record. NCBI's taxonomy places the organism in Eukaryota, Metazoa, Arthropoda, Insecta, Hemiptera, Aphididae.